This 492-nucleotide ribosomal RNA is filed under the name uncultured bacterium. Its description in RNAcentral is "partial 16S ribosomal RNA". It matches the Rfam family "Bacterial small subunit ribosomal RNA", at positions 29 to 507 of the family's 1533-position model. The record is from RNAcentral.
AGUGAACGCUGGCGGUAGGCCUAACACAUGCAAGUCGAACGGCAGCACAGUAAGAGCUUGCUCUUACGGGUGGCGAGUGGCGGACGGGUGAGGAAUACAUCGGAAUCUACUUUUUCGUGGGGGAUAACGUAGGGAAACUUACGCUAAUACCGCAUACGACCUACGGGUGAAAGCAGGGGAUCUUCGGACCUUGCGCGAUUGAAUGAGCCGAUGUCGGAUUAGCUAGUUGGCGGGGUAAAGGCCCACCAAGGCGACGAUCCGUAGCUGGUCUGAGAGGAUGAUCAGCCACACUGGAACUGAGACACGGUCCAGACUCCUACGGGAGGCAGCAGUGGGGAAUGUUGGACAAUGGGCGCAAGCCUGAUCCAGCCAUACCGCGUGGGUGAAGAAGGCCUUCGGGUUGUAAAGCCCUUUUGUUGGGAAAGAAAAGCAGCAGGUUAAUACCCCGCUGCUCUGACGGUACCCAAAGAAUAAGCACCGGCUAACUUCGUG